CAAAUAAAAUUUUAAUGAUUGAAAAACACAAAAACGCCAACAUCUGGUUCGUUGAUCGUAUACCAACUUACACACUAACGAAAAAAGAUGAUGAAAAAGACGGACAGAAGAGAAAUGGAAAAUCGAAGUAAUAAAUUCACUCGUUUGCACAAAUAAAUUUCAAUAAAUCGUGGGCACUACAGUUGAUCACACUUCGAUCAGAUCAAAGUUGAUAAAAAGCGUUGAUUUGACAAAACGAAUCAUGUUCACUCUUAAGAUUGUCAUUAUUUGCUGUGUUCUACUUUAUACAAUGGACACGAUCGCCGGUCGACCAGUUUCGAGUAAAGAAAGUAACGAAAGUAAAGAAAACGCUUCUGAAGACGUCGAAUCGGAUGACGAGCAACAAAAAUUCUACGAAGUGGAUGCUUUCGGUGACGAUUAUCUGGAUUUCGGUGCGAUAACUGGACCGAAAGGAGCAUUCUCGUGGCACGCAAAUUAUCCACUGGAGAAGUGAAUCGUGAUCGUUAAGUGGAAAAAGAGCUGCAUCGGUUGGACCGACCCAUAUCAUUAUAUUUUGAACAACAGACUCGCAAUGGAUUCUUCUUUCGUAUAAUAAUCGAAAAUAGAUGUGGACAUUAAAUACACAGUGCACAACGAUCAAUGACAACAAUAAACAACUCACCUCUUGGAAUGCGGAAUUUAAUGCUUGGUCGCCGAUCGUUCGUUUUCCAUUCUUCUUGCAUCUACCUACAUCCUACAGUCACACUACAAGUGUUACAAAAAAAAUUAAUUUGUUUUUCUCUUACAUUGUUGUUUUAUUGUUACCUAAAUUCUUGUUAAAAUACACAAUUGUUUUUUUCUUGUUAAAAAUAAAAAUCGGCGCAAAAUUCGGUUUUACAUUUUGGGGGGGAAUUUUCAGUUGUGUUUGAAGUGUGUACAUAACAAUCAUUUAUGUUUUGUAUUUUAUUUAGAAUUUUUACGGAAAUUGUUUAUCGUUCAAAUCAUUCACUUCAACCAACUGAUGCAACAUUAUCUUUUGUUUCCAUUUUUUUAUGUAGAUUUGUUUACGUUUCUUUCAAAGGAAAAAAAACUUCUCGGGCAUUUAAAGUUUAUGAUGUGAAAAACGAGGAAAGAAGAAAAAAGGAAGAUCAGUCCACACCAAAGUGAGUAUCGCAACGGGGACUAUUCGAUCUUGAAUUAUUCGAACAAAAUAUUAGUUUCGCUUUCAAAUCCAC
Long non-coding RNA from Bradysia coprophila, 1214 nucleotides. RefSeq lists it as uncharacterized. NCBI's taxonomy places the organism in Eukaryota, Metazoa, Arthropoda, Insecta, Diptera, Sciaridae. The record is from RefSeq and is a predicted model, not a curated record.